RNAcentral lists this ribosomal RNA (440 nucleotides) under uncultured bacterium. Its description in RNAcentral is "partial 16S ribosomal RNA". It matches the Rfam family "Bacterial small subunit ribosomal RNA", at positions 338 to 795 of the family's 1533-position model. The record is from RNAcentral.
CCUACGGAUGGCAGCAGUGGGGAAUAUUGCACAAUGGGGGAAACCCUGAUGCAGCGACGCCGCGUGAGUGAAGCAGUAAUUCGUUAUGUAACGCUCUAUCAGCAGGGAAGAAAAUGACGGUACCUGAGUAAGCAGCCCCGGCUAACUAGGUGCCAGCAGCCGCGGUAAUCCGUAGGGGGCAAGCGUUAUCCGGAUUUACUGGGUGUAAAGGGAGCGUAGACGGCAGUACAAGUCUGGAGUGAAAGGCGGGGGCUCAACCCCCGGACUGCUCUGGAAACUGUACGGCUGGAGUGCAGGAGAGGUAAGUGGAAUGCCUAGUGUAGCGGUGAAAUGCGUAGAUAUUAGGAGGAACACCAGUGGCGAAGGCGGCUUACUGGACUGUAACUGACGUUGAGGCUCGAAAGCGUGGGGAGCAAACAGGAUUAGAUACCCCUGUAGUC